Molecule: non-coding RNA, 134 nt
Organism: Brachypodium distachyon (stiff brome)
Lineage: Eukaryota; Viridiplantae; Streptophyta; Magnoliopsida; Poales; Poaceae
Source: Rfam
AACAUGCUUCCUCCGUCCAACAGAGAAUGUCUCAACUUAACUAAAUUUGAAUGCAUGCAUAUACUAAGUCAUGUUACAUACAUACAAAUUUUGACAAACUUGAGACAUCUUUUAUUGGACGGAGGGAGUAUUGU